GGUUGUAUAGCUCAGCGGUAGAGCACCUGCAUGACUCGCAGGCGGUCGGAGGUUCGAUCCCUCUUGCAACCAC
This 73-nucleotide transfer RNA is filed under the name Microbacterium phage Pumpernickel. RNAcentral's name for it is "tRNA-Val". It matches the Rfam family "tRNA". From Rfam's summary of the family: Transfer RNA (tRNA) molecules are approximately 80 nucleotides in length. Their secondary structure includes four short double-helical elements and three loops (D, anti-codon, and T loops). Lineage: Duplodnaviria; Heunggongvirae; Uroviricota; Caudoviricetes. The record is from RNAcentral.